CUCAAGAUGAGUGCUCUCACUACAUAAGUAGGUAAGGUCACCUGUAGAACACAGGUUCAUAGGCGGUAGGGGGAAGUGCAGUAAUGUAUGUAGCCGAGCCGUGCUAACAGACCGAGGGCUUGACCUC
RNAcentral lists this ribosomal RNA (127 nucleotides) under Nostoc linckia z13. Its description in RNAcentral is "partial 23S ribosomal RNA". It matches the Rfam family "Bacterial large subunit ribosomal RNA", at positions 2798 to 2925 of the family's 2925-position model. The record is from RNAcentral. Lineage: Bacteria; Bacillati; Cyanobacteriota; Cyanophyceae; Nostocales; Nostocaceae.